CGUGCGUAUUUUGGAUACCCGUAUAACCAUCCAAGACUGUUGAAGUGACUAAUUCCAAGAAAUUAAGCGGCGUUGAGGACAAAGAAAUUGUUGGAGUUACCCUUUCUUAUCCAGUACCAACAUACUUGAUGUUAAGAACAGAUCUUUUACAGGAAGGUUGGCUAGAGAUUUCUUGUAAAAACACUAGCCCCGCUCAGUUGAUAAUGAGAAUACUGCAAUCUUUUUUGAUUCUAUGUAUUUUUUUUAUCAUUAUACACAUAAAGGAGGAGCCGUAUGAGAUGAAAAUCUUACGUACGGUUCUGGAACGGAGAUUCUUUGAACUGAAUGACGACCGUAAC
Molecule: non-coding RNA, 338 nt
Organism: Lupinus albus (white lupine)
Lineage: Eukaryota; Viridiplantae; Streptophyta; Magnoliopsida; Fabales; Fabaceae
Source: the annotation of a GenBank genome assembly